AGACAGUUGCCUCCUUAGCGCAGUAGGCAGCGCGUCAGUCUCAUAAUCUGAAGGUCCUGAGUUCGAACCUCAGAGGGGGCAAGGCGUCUGUUUUGCCAUUUUACUUCUUCUUGAUCCAAAAUGAGUAAGACAACAAAGGAAGUUGACAAAACGUUGUUCUUUCUCUGCUUUCUCUAUAGAAAAGUGUACAAUAUGUCUGGUAAGGGAAAAAAAAAUCUAAGGACAUUGCUUUGAUGGAACAGAACGGGUAAUUGCUGUUUAAUAGAACCAUGUUCAGUUACAAAACAGUGAUUUUCACUAAGAAUUAAAUUCUCCAAAAUUCUCAUCUCCCCUCCCGCCCUGCAUACCAAUUGGAGAUAGAGCUGGUAGCAUUUUCAAAUGUUUUUCAGAUAUGCUUGGCAAUUGUCUUUGUUUUAACAACACCAGAGUCAAGAAACUUGCCAGUUUUAGAGUGCUGAGAUAAGAAAAAGUGGGUGGAGGGUUGUACUAGGGGUGUGGAAGGUAUAGAAUCUAAUUAUCAAUUACUGACUUGGUUAUCUUUUACCAUUCUUCUGGAAUGGCUUACCACCAGGUUGCCACCAAUAACAUUCCAUAUGAAAAAAGAAAGGAAACAAAAAACUGACAAAAAACUCCCCCCUCAGUCUCAUUGCAUUGGACCUUUUCUCUUGCUUCCAGUCCUGUUGACUGGAUCUAAAUCAUC
This 700-nucleotide transfer RNA is filed under the name Homo sapiens (human). RNAcentral's name for it is "HSALNT0333521". The stretch from base 9 to 81 matches the Rfam family "tRNA". The record is from RNAcentral. Lineage: Eukaryota; Metazoa; Chordata; Mammalia; Primates; Hominidae.